This 124-nucleotide microRNA precursor is filed under the name Hordeum vulgare. RNAcentral's name for it is "microRNA MIR1122". It matches the Rfam family "MIR1120/MIR1122 microRNA precursor family". Lineage: Eukaryota; Viridiplantae; Streptophyta; Magnoliopsida; Poales; Poaceae. The record is from RNAcentral.
CUUACACUACCUCUGUCUGGAAAUACUUGUCCUAGGGAUGAAUGUAUCUAGACUUAUUUUAAUUAUAGAUAAAUUCAUUAUAUGCAUUUUUAGGACAAGUAUUUUUGGACGGAGAGAGUAGUAG